AAAUUGAAGAGUUUGAUCAUGGCUCAGAUUGAACGCUGGCGGCAGGCCUAACACAUGCAAGUCGAACGGUAACAGGAAGCAGCUUGCUGCUUUGCUGACGAGUGGCGGACGGGUGAGUAAUGUCUGGGAAACUGCCUGAUGGAGGGGGAUAACUACUGGAAACGGUAGCUAAUACCGCAUAAUGUCGCAAGACCAAAGAGGGGGACCUUCGGGCCUCUUGCCAUCGGAUGUGCCCAGAUGGGAUUAGCUAGUAGGUGGGGUAACGGCUCACCUAGGCGACGAUCCCUAGCUGGUCUGAGAGGAUGACCAGCCACACUGGAACUGAGACACGGUCCAGACUCCUACGGGAGGCAGCAGUGGGGAAUAUUGCACAAUGGGCGCAAGCCUGAUGCAGCCAUGCCGCGUGUAUGAAGAAGGCCUUCGGGUUGUAAAGUACUUUCAGCGGGGAGGAAGGCGAUAAGGUUAAUAACCUUGUCGAUUGACGUUACCCGCAGAAGAAGCACCGGCUAACUCCGUGCCAGCAGCCGCGGUAAUACGGAGGGUGCAAGCGUUAAUCGGAAUUACUGGGCGUAAAGCGCACGCAGGCGGUCUGUCAAGUCGGAUGUGAAAUCCCCGGGCUCAACCUGGGAACUGCAUUCGAAACUGGCAGGCUAGAGUCUUGUAGAGGGGGGUAGAAUUCCAGGUGUAGCGGUGAAAUGCGUAGAGAUCUGGAGGAAUACCGGUGGCGAAGGCGGCCCCCUGGACAAAGACUGACGCUCAGGUGCGAAAGCGUGGGGAGCAAACAGGAUUAGAUACCCUGGUAGUCCACGCCGUAAACGAUGUCGACUUGGAGGUUGUGCCCUUGAGGCGUGGCUUCCGGAGCUAACGCGUUAAGUCGACCGCCUGGGGAGUACGGCCGCAAGGUUAAAACUCAAAUGAAUUGACGGGGGCCCGCACAAGCGGUGGAGCAUGUGGUUUAAUUCGAUGCAACGCGAAGAACCUUACCUACUCUUGACAUCCAGAGAACUUAGCAGAGAUGCUUUGGUGCCUUCGGGAACUCUGAGACAGGUGCUGCAUGGCUGUCGUCAGCUCGUGUUGUGAAAUGUUGGGUUAAGUCCCGCAACGAGCGCAACCCUUAUCCUUUGUUGCCAGCGGUUAGGCCGGGAACUCAAAGGAGACUGCCAGUGAUAAACUGGAGGAAGGUGGGGAUGACGUCAAGUCAUCAUGGCCCUUACGAGUAGGGCUACACACGUGCUACAAUGGCGCAUACAAAGAGAAGCGACCUCGCGAGAGCAAGCGGACCUCAUAAAGUGCGUCGUAGUCCGGAUUGGAGUCUGCAACUCGACUCCAUGAAGUCGGAAUCGCUAGUAAUCGUGGAUCAGAAUGCCACGGUGAAUACGUUCCCGGGCCUUGUACACACCGCCCGUCACACCAUGGGAGUGGGUUGCAAAAGAAGUAGGUAGCUUAACCUUCGGGAGGGCGCUUACCACUUUGUGAUUCAUGACUGGGGUGAAGUCGUAACAAGGUAACCGUAGGGGAACCUGCGGUUGGAUCACCUCCUUACCUUAAAGAA
Molecule: ribosomal RNA, 1552 nt
Filed under: Enterobacter hormaechei
Lineage: Bacteria; Pseudomonadati; Pseudomonadota; Gammaproteobacteria; Enterobacterales; Enterobacteriaceae
Description: bacterial SSU rRNA
Rfam family: Bacterial small subunit ribosomal RNA
Source: RNAcentral